This 29-nucleotide small RNA is filed under the name Bombyx mori (domestic silkworm). RNAcentral describes it as "ovarian small RNA-23318". The record is from RNAcentral. Lineage: Eukaryota; Metazoa; Arthropoda; Insecta; Lepidoptera; Bombycidae.
UAUACCGCAGCUGCUACCUCAGCCUCGAG